RNAcentral lists this ribosomal RNA (445 nucleotides) under uncultured bacterium. RNAcentral describes it as "bacterial SSU rRNA". It matches the Rfam family "Bacterial small subunit ribosomal RNA", at positions 354 to 796 of the family's 1533-position model. The record is from RNAcentral.
GUGGGGAAUAUUGCGCAAUGGGCGAAAGCCUGACGCAGCAACGCCGCGUGGGUGAUGAAGGCCUUCGGGUUGUAAAGCCCUGUCGCCCGGGACGAAUAAGCUCGUGAAGAACGAGCCCUGACGGUACCGGGAGAGGAAGCACCGGCUAACUCUGUGCCAGCAGCCGCGGUAAUACAGAGGGUGCUAGCGUUGUUCGGAAUUAUUGGGCGUAAAGGGCGCGUAGGCGGUCUCGCAUGUCGAAUGUGAAAGCCCACCUCUUAAAGGUGGAAUUGCAUUCGAAACUGCGAGACUAGAGUGCCGGAGAGGGUGGUGGAAUUCCUGGUGUAGAGGUGAAAUUCGUAGAUAUCAGGAGGAACACCGGUGGCGAAGGCGGCCACCUGGACGGUAACUGACGCUGAGGCGCGAAAGCGUGGGGAGCAAACAGGAUUAGAAACCCGAGUAGUCC